RNAcentral lists this long non-coding RNA (308 nucleotides) under Mytilus galloprovincialis (Mediterranean mussel). Lineage: Eukaryota; Metazoa; Mollusca; Bivalvia; Mytilida; Mytilidae. The record is from RNAcentral.
GCGCUAAACACUGUAGUAAUUAUACUUUUGCGUACCUUGUCACACGGAACACAUUAAAAAUAUACUCUCCAUAAUAAUACAUCAGGCCGGCAUGUACAAAUUUUCGUCAAACGGUUUUCGUUGUUUUCAUUGCGAAACUGAGAAACUGUUACUUGACGGAAUAUGGAGACGAAUGGAGUCAAGUUGACAGGAUAUAACUAGACAUCUAUAUUGUGCCGAAUACUAAACUGACACGGACUUCAUAGUCAACAAUGGUACAGCAUGAAGUAAGGAUUGCCAAUAAUAAUCUCGGUGGAACCUCCAAAUUG